UUCUGGGGGUAGGGGCAAAACCUGGCGAGUGGAACCGUUGACCACGCUGGCAUGCAGGACUGCUGCUGGGUGACGCUAACAGGACUGGAGAACAAGCCAUGGCCCCUCCCCACUCCAGGCUCGCAGCCUCCUCUGAUGCCUAACAGAGCCUAACAGGUUGGCAGUGGCCCACCCAACAUCACUGCCCACUAUGCAGAGGUGGGGCUGGAACUGAACAAACACCACUCGGCCACCAGGACAAGGGCUCCAUCCCAAGGAGAGAGCCUCACCCCUCUAGGCUCCCAGCUGCCGCCACAGGUCUUUGGGUUCCAGAGGACACACCACAUCAUGACAGAGCAUGUCCAGGGAGACCCAGGGCCAAGGCAGGGGCAGAGUGAAGACUCAGAGGUGAAGCAGGUGGCGAGACAGGAUGAGGAGUGGCAGCUCGGGCCGGACAAAGAACCAGGCCCUGCGUGGGCGGCCACACGGUCCCACUCCCAGGGGAGACUGAGCACACUGAAUGUGAUGGCGAAUAACAUGCAAGAUUUCUCAUGAUUCCAAAUUUCUUGUGAGAACACAAACAAAACAAAACCCUAAGGACAGUGGAGGCUGGUUAUAUCCAACCAAUACCUUUGAAAGCACAAGAAAAAGAAAAUAAAUCAGGCUGAAUGACACAUCUAUAGAAAUCAGAGAUGGCCACACACUAGACUGUGCUGUUCUGAGAUACAGUCAAAGACACAUGAAUGCCUUCCACUCGCCUUAGAUGGAAGAGAAAGAAGCUUCCAAGCCAAGUCUCCCUCCUGCUCAGAGCACCCUACCUUGUGGGGUCAAGGGUGCAGGGCUGGGACCGCCGGCCAGGGGCUUGCUUCCCAGGGCGCCGUGCACAGCGCCCGCCUGAGACACGGUCUGCAUCACCACGGGGCCAGGGGCUCGAAGGUAGGGUUGCCCGGGGGCGGACACGAUCUGGAGGACGCUGCCUGCAAUCAUAGGUCCGCUAGGUGUCAAUAACAGGCACGUGUACAUCACAGUCACACACUCCAGGCACUUCCAAACAGUACAAAGUAAGUCGACAAACUGAAAAUCAAAUCUAAACAAACAAAUCAAUGCAAAGUUCAGUCACUGUGAGAAAAGUGGCAACCCAUCACCAACAGUGGAUGAUGACAUACUAAGAGGCAAGGUCUCUUGCUCAAUGUCAAGAAAAGGCCAUCUACCCUCUGUCCCUUACGGAAGGUGUGUGACACACAGCUGCUGAGGACCUGCUGUGCUGUUCGAGGUACUGAGCUGGACAUCCUCACUCCCAGAUCACUGCAGUCACUCCUGACAGCAGUCAAGGAGAAUGAAGAAAUGGAACAAAACCCUGUUUUUAGCCCAGAUGCCUGUGGCUUUUCUGCUGCUUUUUAAGGAGGCUGCCACUUUGGAUCUUGUAUGACUGCAUCUUUCUGACUUCUUUUACUCUGGAGAUAGCUUCCCAUGUCAUACUUUAUGAAAACUGGCGGCCAUCAGAGAUGUUACCAAUUGGCCCCACCUCUGUGGGCCAAAAAAAUGUUUAAAAAAAAAAAAAAAA
RNAcentral lists this long non-coding RNA (1543 nucleotides) under Macaca fascicularis (crab-eating macaque). Its description in RNAcentral is "lncRNA (ENSMFAG00000064481.1)". Lineage: Eukaryota; Metazoa; Chordata; Mammalia; Primates; Cercopithecidae. The record is from RNAcentral.